GUGCGGGCGAGCGAGCGAGCGAGCGACACCGGUGUACGGUCUAGAAUACACAUGUGGCAAAAUACGCUGGUUUUGACAGAACAGAGGCUGGCAUCUGCGCACCACUUCACCACGUAGGGACUCAACAAAUAAUUAUUCUUCAGAAGAUAAUUCUCUAGUUUCGUAGAACAUUUGCAAGAGUGAGCCUUCCUACAGACUGAGAAUGACCUAGAAGCCACCACUGCUGAGCCCAGCAGAGCAGGAUAUCAUUCUUGUGUGUAAGCAACAAGGUGUGUGACAGAAAACAGGGCUCCAGCUGCACCCGGGUCAACCUGUCAAACAUGGAGGGCCACGUCACACUGUUGCCCCCCCUGCUGCUGCUCCUCUGUAGCCUGUCAGGGGUGUGGGGGUUCCCCUUCGGCCCCGUCCUUGACAUGGACGUCAACCCCAGGACCACAGUGUUCUCCCAAGGCCUGUUAGGUUGCCAGCGUUUCAGCAGCCCAUCUCAAAACUACAGCACACUGCUCCUGGAGGAGGACAAUGGGGUGCUAUACGUGGGGGCCAGGGGGGCUCUCUAUGCCCUGGACACCACCAACAUCUCCACGCCCGGUAACCUCACGAUUGACUGGGAAGCUUCGGCCGAGCAGAUGAAACAGUGUCUCAACAAAGGAAAAGACAAUCAGACAGAGUGUUACAAUCACAUCCGCAUCCUACAGAGGUACAAUGAGACUCACCUGUACGUCUGUGGCACGCACGCCUUCAGGCCCCUCUGUGCCUACAUAGAUGUGGAGCGCUUCAGUUUCUCCUCUGGCUUCGAGGAGGGCAGGGACAGGUGUCCCUACGACCCAGCCAAGGGCUACACCAGCCUCCUUGUGGACGGUGAGAUGUUCUCAGCGUCCCAGUAUGAGUUCCGCAGCUCUCCGGACGUUCGUCGGAACUUCCCCUUCCCCACUCUGAGGACAGAGGAGGCUCCGACCAGGUGGCUGCUGGAGGCGGACUUUGUGGGCUCGGCGCUGCUGAAGGAGAGUGUCAACAGCUCGAUCGGCGACGACGACAAGAUCUACUUCUUCUUCACGGAGAGGAGCCAGGAGCAGAUGGCCUACCCCAGCCAGACCAGGGUGGCACGGGUUGCCCGCGUCUGCAAGGGUGACUGGGGCGGCCAGAGGACCUUGCAGAGGAAGUGGACGUCCUUCCUGAAGGCUAGACUGGUGUGCUCCGUUCCUGACUACGAGCUCCACCUGAAUGUGCUGCGUAGCGUCUUCGUACUGGAGGGCCCAGACGUACACAGCACCGUCUUCUACGGGAUCUUUGGCCUGGAAUGGAAAAAUGUCAAGGUGUCUGCGGUGUGCCAGUACUCCUUCACAGAUAUUCAGAGGGCCUUCGAGGGGCCUUACAUGGAGGUGCAGGAUUCCAAAUGGAGGGAAUAUAGAGGGAAGGUUCCGGUACCAAGACCUGGCUCGUGUAUCACAAACAUACACCGGUCCCAGGGCAUCAACUCGUCCCGUGACCUCCCAGACAACGUGUUGGCCUUUGCGAGGCGCCACCCCCUGAUGUCUACACAGGUCCACCCCAUAGGAGGGCGACCCCUACUAUUCAAGAGAAGUGUCAAUUACGUCAAGAUGGCCGUGCACCGGGUGGCAGCUCUGGACGGACACGUCUACACCGUGCUCUUCUUGGGAACUGAUGAGGGCUGGCUGCACAGGGCUGUGGAGGUCAGAGGUCAAAUGCACAUCAUAGAGGAGCUGCAGCUUUUUGAGAACCCUCAGCCUGUAGACAGCAUGGUCAUCUCCCAGACACAGGGAAGUGUCUAUGUGGGCUCCAACUCUGCAGUGCUCCAGGUCCCCUUGUCCUCCUGCCAGCGCUACACGUCCUGUUUCGACUGUGUGUUUGCCCGGGACCCCUACUGUGGCUGGGACGGGACGCUGUGUGUGGAAAUAUCCUCACGCACAAACAGCUCCAAUCUAACCCAGGAUAUACAGAAAGGCAACAGAGGCUGUGACAACAGCACAGGAGCUGUAGUCCACCGCAGGCGUACGGUGAUGUCUGGGGACGACAUCCUCCUCCAGUGCGAGCUGCACUCCAACCUGGCCACGCCGCACUGGACCCUGGAUGGGCACGAGCUCCAGGGCUAUGACCUCGACUCGGGCCACCGCGUGGGCACCGACGGCCUGCUCCUCAUAGGCGCCCGGGCCGACCAGAGUGGAGACUACCACUGCUACGCCGUGGAGAACGACGUGUGGGUGCCAGUGAGGCUGUACACGGUGAAGGUGCACCCUGACCUGCCCUUCCCUGUGGGGCCAACAGUCACGACGAACACUUUAUCAACCACCGCCACUACCGCCACUACCGCCCCACCAAGCCCUUCUCUUACUCCCAGCAGCCCCACCGAGCAGCCCCUGCCCUCCCCACCUGCUCCCCUCCCCUUUGGACCCGAGUUCCAGACCUACAGGCACAUGGAGGCCAUGUAUAUCUCCCUGGUGGCUGUGCUGGGCGGGCUGUGCCUGGUGCUGACCAUAGUGUUGCUCUACGUCAGCUUCUGCAAACGAGCGCCCUACCAGGGCCGCAAGUACUCCCAGGAGGGGCUGCCCGAGUCAGGGGCCGCAGCCGAGAGGAAGAAGAGCUCCCAUUCCCAUCUGGAGCUCAAGACCAUGUCCAUCCACUGCAACGGCAGGCAGGACAGCAAGCGAGGACGGCGCUCCCUGUCGGCUUCUAACGUGGAAGACGUGUGCGACGGCUUCCUUCAGAUUGUGCCCGGGGGAGGGUCUCCGGGGAAGUCGCCGGCCCCUCCCGCCCCGCCUCUCCCAAUGCCGCCGCCCCUGCCCUCCUCGGCGUACGCAUCGUCAGAGUACGCCAACGGGAUGUCGGCGACAUUACCCAGUGUCCUUCGCAAGAUGAACGGCAACAGUUACGUGCUGCUGAGGCAGACGGCGGACCCCGAGGGGAGCACGUCUCCCCUCUACCACUCGUUCACCGAAGAGCUCAACCGCAUCCUAGAGAAGAGGAAGCACACACAAAUGGACCCCCAGCUGCCAGACGAGAGCUCUGUCUAGCCCCCCCCCCCAUCACUUUCCCAUUGAUCUGUUUAUUGGUUUAACCCAACUACCCCAGAGUUCCCCCAAGAGGCAGGGAGGUCAAACUUUUGUAUUAUACUGCUGCUGUUUACCCAGUGUCAAAGCAACCUGUGGGAGUAUCCAUACCUAAAACUCAAUGUGCAGCUUCCUGUGACUCGAGAUAGGUGCCCCACGUAAUUUCACUACUGAACAUUGGAGUAAAGAAGACUUAAAGAAGACAAACUGGAGCAGUCAUUGAUAUAGUCAUGGUAACCAUUUUGGACACACAUUGUACUAUUACAUGGACCCUUUGAUUGACUUUCAAGGACUUAAGGUCACAUACAUGAUACAUAUACACAAGUUAGUUACAAUCCUACCUCAGAUCCUUACCCUAUUGGGAAAGUAGGGUCAGUGAUGGUCUGGUCAGCAGACACACUGACAGCGAGUGCUGUGGUGUAUCGUCGGACACGGGACGAUGAGAGCCCAGGUCAUAUGACCAACGACCAUGAAGUGAGAUGGUGAUGAACGUAAGACUGUGAGGAACUACCAAAUCCGGUAUGAACAUUAUAGACCAUCGUCUAAACUAUUGAGUUUGGAGAACAAUGGGUACGGUAGUUUAGUGCCAUACACGUCUAAGAUGGCUCUUAUUGACCCAGGCCUACAGAACUUCAUAUGAGAGCAAAUAUGGUUGGACAAAUAAUACAUUUCAGUCAUAACUUAAUACCACACACUUAUCUUCGUUUUCUUUUGUGCUUAUGUAAAUAGCAAUAGUAUCGCGUGGCAGCCAUCAGUAGCAACCUGUUGAAAUAAUGCCAGUUGAAAUGGUUGCACCGAAACCAUAUUGAAAUGGAACUUUUUAGCAUCUUUGUGUUGUUAGCGUCGGACUGUGUCAAAGGGGGAAAGCAGUAUGGAUAGACGGCAGGUUUUAUCUAAGCUUGGCGGGAUGAAGACUAUCAUUAAAGAAUGAAGACAAUCGUUAAUGACUGAUCUCUGGUCAGAUUUGAUCAGAGAAACUGAGUGAUGAUGAUGUUGAUGAUGGAUCUGAUUGCCAGAGAUGUGUGAGCCCAACAGGAGACCAGAAGGCAAAGAUAUGCAAGAAGCCAGAUCACAUUGAUCUCAGAAGAGAUGGAGAAGAUGGAUGGAAGGAGUGUGUGAGGAACCCUGAUGAUCUGAGCCAAUGACUGCUCAAAAUACACAGAAGGACGAUCAGCACGUGAAAUCUCCAAUGGCAGGGGACUUGGAUAUGGUUAUUGUAGUGUGCUUACUACUUAUGGUCAAUUGGAAAAUAUGCUGGCUACUACAGUCAAAUACGCACCUCCAGUAUGCCCCCAUAAACACUGUGGAACACUUAUUUCAACAAACAUACUCGCUCACGUCACACUGUACAGACAUGACAACAUUCAAAUGGAGGUUUAGACAAAGGCCCAGUGCAGCCGGUUUUAUCUCAAUAUCAAAUCAUUUCUAGGUAACAAUGAAGUACCUUACUGUGAUUGUUUUCAGUCAAAACAAUCGAAAAGAAACAAAAAUAGCUUCUUAGCAAAGUGCAAUUUCUCAAGCAAGAAUGUUGCUAUGACUCUCGGAGUGGUCUAAGUGGGGAGGGGAAAACUAGCUGUUAUUGGCAGAGAGGUUUGGAACUCUUUCCUAUUGGUCUAUUAACUAUGAUGUCACCAGGCAGGCCAAAACUCCAUCCCACCAAAAAAGGCUGAAAACUCAGGCAGGCUUUUCAAACAGCUCUUACACUAAAAGGGAAUUAUCAUCAAUUUCGCAGUUUUAUUCCAACCUCAGUGUGGAAAUACAGUAUAAAUAAAACACAGAAAAAUUGAAUUAUUGACUGCACUGGGCCUUUAACUCCACAUCACCUACAGAAUACAUUUGAGUGAACAAUGACUAAAAGAUUAAUUUGCGUUAUACCUCUUUCGAGGACUUUUCUUGCUCUGUACAUAAGGAGAUUCAGUAUACCCUUGUAAAGUGUUACAUCAAUGUGUUACAUCCAUGUUGUGUUGUUUUCUGGUUCGAUGUAGAUAUGACUACUACUUCACAAUCUACUUAGUAUUUUAUCAGCCAUGUAAUUGGCCAUGUCAUGCGUAAUUCUUUGGGCAUCAUUGCACUUGAGGAGAAAAUACAAUUCUCAUACAAGUACCAGUCAAAAGUUUGGACACACCUACUCAUUCCAGGGUCUUUCUUUAUUUUUAC
Salvelinus namaycush (lake trout) is the source of this 5222-nucleotide RNA transcript. It is a transcript of the gene named semaphorin-4G-like, with no coding region annotated. The record is from RefSeq and is a predicted model, not a curated record. The transcript has 16 exons. Lineage: Eukaryota; Metazoa; Chordata; Actinopteri; Salmoniformes; Salmonidae.